This is a long non-coding RNA of Sinocyclocheilus rhinocerous, 355 nucleotides long. RefSeq lists it as uncharacterized. The record is from RefSeq and is a predicted model, not a curated record. The transcript is spliced from 5 exons. NCBI's taxonomy places the organism in Eukaryota, Metazoa, Chordata, Actinopteri, Cypriniformes, Cyprinidae.
GGGGUGAAAUGUACCUAGACAUUUAUGAGAUUCUCCUUAGACUUUAUAAUCUAUAUCAAAUGUGCUAUUGAAGUCAACAAUAAGACAGAUGUACAUUUUGUACUUCAUACAGUAUAUUUGUUGGAAAUACUUGUUCAUCAAAUUUACUACAGAUUUAUUGUUUCAGAAAAAUAUUAAUAGGGUGCUGUUAAAGAGCAGUCAUAUGUUCAAAAGCAUUUACAUUUACUAAAUUUGCUCUGUCAUCUUAUAAAAACCAAUUUUUGACAGUAUUAUAACACAUUGAUGAAGGUUGAUUAUUUUUUGGAAAAAAAAUGUGUGUGUGUGUGUCUGUGUGUGUGUGUGUGUAUGUUGCAGA